GAGUUUGAUCCUGGCUCAGAACGAACGCUGGCGGCGUGCCUAACACAUGCAAGUCGUGCGAGAAAGGUUCCUUCGGGGACCGAGUAAAGCGGCGCACGGGUGAGUAACACGUAGGUAAUCUGCCCCUUAGUCUGGAACAACUGGAGGAAACUUCAGCUAAUGCCGGAUGAGACCACGGCCCCUUCGGGAGCUGCGGCCAAAGAUGGCCUCUACUUGUAAGCUAUCGCUGAGGGAUGAGCCUGCGGGCCAUUAGCUUGUUGGUGAGGUAACGGCUCACCAAGGCUGUGAUGGCUAGCUGGUCUGAGAGGAUGACCAGCCACACUGGGACUGAGACACGGCCCAGACUCCUACGGGAGGCAGCAGUGGGGAAUAUUGCGCAAUGGGCGAAAGCCUGACGCAGCGACGCCGCGUGGGUGAUGAAGGCCUCGGUCGUAA
Molecule: ribosomal RNA, 435 nt
Filed under: uncultured delta proteobacterium
Lineage: Bacteria; Deltaproteobacteria
Description: bacterial SSU rRNA
Rfam family: Bacterial small subunit ribosomal RNA
Source: RNAcentral